GAGAGUAUAGCUCAGUGGUUGAGCGUGUGCUUAGCAUGCACAAGGUCCUAGGUUUAAUCCCCAGUACUUCCA
RNAcentral lists this transfer RNA (72 nucleotides) under Camelus bactrianus (Bactrian camel). It matches the Rfam family "tRNA". From Rfam's summary of the family: Transfer RNA (tRNA) molecules are approximately 80 nucleotides in length. Their secondary structure includes four short double-helical elements and three loops (D, anti-codon, and T loops). RNAcentral also lists the same sequence under 2 other names. The record is from Rfam by way of RNAcentral. Lineage: Eukaryota; Metazoa; Chordata; Mammalia; Artiodactyla; Camelidae.